This 345-nucleotide long non-coding RNA is filed under the name Lathyrus oleraceus (garden pea). Its description in RNAcentral is "Pisum sativum (pea) long non-coding RNA (PSAT_LNC035008)". The record is from RNAcentral. Lineage: Eukaryota; Viridiplantae; Streptophyta; Magnoliopsida; Fabales; Fabaceae.
UUCACGAUCAUCCGCAGGGGAUUUUAAGGAAAUGCCCCGAGGGUAUCUAUUCUGAAUAGACGAUCCAAAGCACUUAAAAUUUACAGCAAUUUUAAAUGUUUAUUAAGCAUGUACCUGUAAAGCCCUUAUGUGUCAUGAUGACCCGAGGGUAUCUAUUCUGAAUAGACGAUCCAAAGCACUUAAAAUUUACAGCAAUUUUAAAUGUUUAUUAAGCAUGUACCUGUAAAGCCCUUAUGUGUCAUGAUGCAAUGUUUAUCAAAAAUUCGGAAGUCAUUUUUGCAAACAAAACAGUAAAAUUAAAAUGAAAACAGAGAUAUAUUGAAUAACAUGAUUUUAUUGAUUGAA